RNAcentral lists this ribosomal RNA (292 nucleotides) under uncultured bacterium. Its description in RNAcentral is "partial 16S ribosomal RNA". It matches the Rfam family "Bacterial small subunit ribosomal RNA", at positions 505 to 796 of the family's 1533-position model. The record is from RNAcentral.
GUGUCAGCCGCCGCGGUAAGACAGAGGGUGCAAACGUUGUUCGGAAUUACUGGGCGUAAAGCGUGUGUAGGCGGCCACGUAAGUCGGAUGUGAAAGCCCCGGGCUCAACCCGGGAAGUGCACUCGAUACUGCGUGGCUUGAGUACUGGAGAGGUUGGUGGAAUUCUCGGUGUAGAGGUGAAAUUCGUAGAUAUCGAGAGGAACACCGGUGGCGAAGGCGGCCAACUGGACAGAUACUGACGCUGAGACACGAAAGCGUGGGUAGCAAACAGGAUUAGAAACCCGCGUAGUCC